UAAAGUUAUUUAUCAAUUUCUGAUUUAGCCUAUCAAUGAACCUUUUCCCGAUAUAAAGCGUAACAUUAUGCCUGAUAACUGGAAAAUAAAUACCACGACUUAUUAUUUUAUAUUUUCAUGUAAGAUCUUUAUAGUCCAGGAAAUGUUUAUAGGAUCCAUAGACCGUAUAUGGUCUAUUAUAUGGUUUUCUACAGAGCGUUACCAAUGGAACCGGGUAAUCCGAACUCCCCGAAGAGCAGUCCGUCGUUCGACAGCAUCUCACUCUCUCCCUCUCUCUAUAAAACCUAGCGGGUUUUUCCGCCAGCCAAACAGCGCCAACAACAACGAAGGAAAGUUAAUACAAAUUGAAUAACGAAAGCGACCUGAUCUGUUCGAACUAUCGGGGAAAUUACAGUAUCUCUAUAUAUAUCUAUAGACACACAUACGCAUUCAUUCAUAAUCGAUAUUCUCACUUAUAUAAUAUAAAUUAUUUUUAAGUUUCGCACCGCUCUGUGUUUUUCGCCACGAAAUUAAUGAAAACAUUUAAUUGUGAUGCUAAUGGGCAAAAAGAUACUGAGAAAGUUGCGCUGCGGCAUCAUUGUCAUGAUCAUCAUCAUCAUUAUCAUUAUCGUCGCGAUUAUAGGCCACUUUGAAAGCUCUCUCAUAUAAUAAACAAAGAAAAAAAUCCAAAUAAUUAAAAUGCAAGUGGCAUAUAGAUUGAAUAUAUUUCGAGAACCUAAUUUAUUCGCAUUUCAUUUGUUUGAUUCAGUGUCUGAAAAUUCUAAACCCCCUAAAACCAAUCUAUAAUUCGCUCAUUAAUAUUAAGUAUCGGUUCGCACGCUUUUCAGCUGGCGUGGAAAUUAACCAGAAAAAUAACCAGGGAAUGCUAAAUCCAACCCAGUUAAAAAGCAAUAAAUGGAAAGAAAAGAAAACGGCGAAACAAUCGAAAACGUGUUUAUAUGGACGGCAAACAAAAGCGAAAAUAUUCAUGGUCAGUUGUCGAAUGGAAGGGUGUAUUGGGGUGUACUGGGGUAUAUUUCUAGCACUCAUAUUACGUAUACGCAAAAGAAGAGGGUAACAAUGUGAGGCAAAAUCGUUCGAUUAAGUCGUAAAGCCUAUUAGACGGCAACUAAUUGUCUUAGCAUCCGAAAACAUUCUAAAAUCUGAUUUUUUGACAGCUUAAUAAACGAAAUAAAACUUAUUAUCGGAGAAUAAUCUCCGCCUAAUGGGUU
Molecule: non-coding RNA, 1211 nt
Organism: Drosophila suzukii
Lineage: Eukaryota; Metazoa; Arthropoda; Insecta; Diptera; Drosophilidae
Source: RefSeq, a predicted model, not a curated record